UGCCUAAAGAAAUGCCAAAAACGGAGGGAAAAGAGAAAGAAAGCUAAGUUCUUCGGUUUUUGUUGCAUUCCCCCUGCUCUUUUCUUGGAGCAAGCUACCCAGGAUUUCAACACGCACACGCACACGCACACGCACACACACACGCUUGAGCCGGACUGUCCUUGUUUGCUUGCAAACAGUCCAGAGGCAACGGCAAUGGAGCCCCAUUAAAUCAGACUCCAAGAGACUGGAAUCUGUGUCCCGCUGGCUCCUUCUCCGACUGCCCCCCCCCCCCAGAAGGGAACAGAUUUCUACAAUCCGGACCUGACAAACGCCACUUCUUAGGCCAAAUAGUCCCACGUGGAUCUUAAGCCACAAAAAGAUUAUUCAAAUACCAUCAAGCUGAAGUCAAGUUCUCCCGGAGCCCAUUGAAUCUUUGCCCCAACGGUCCACACAGGAGCCCUUCCCUGAAGAGCUCCCUUUGCUGUGCUGGAAUCUGUUUCUCAGUGAAUAUGUGAUGAUUGCAUGUUUUCGGCCUGAUUCUUUUCUCUUGCCUCACGUCCCCUGGAGAUCCCGCGGCCUCCUUAUAAAAGCCAUGUGUAUCUUAUCUUUUCCAGUGCAGUUGCUAAAACCAGAAAGCAGGCUGGAAAACAUUUCCCCAAACUGUACUGUUUUUCAUUAUUUCUUUCUGACACCUCCAGAUAACUUGUUAGCAUAUUGUCUUUCUCUAUUCAGCACGGCCCCACUGGGGGCUUGGGGACUGAAUGACAUCACCCAGGCAUUUAUAAUUAGAAACAAAAAUGCCUUUUUCCAAAUCUAUAACACCAGGAGACGAUUGGAGACAUUUUUUAAGUUACUGGUGAAAAUCCCACAUGAAAGAGGUCUUUUCUGAGCAGGCAGCAACUUUGCUGGCUUUUGAGACACUACCGGGAAGGCACUGGAAGCAAGUGAACAACCUUUCCAACCAUGGAUCCCAACGCCACCAUGCAGUUUCGCAGGAAAGCGGUCACUGGGCUCUCGGCUUCUCCCCAGAGAAGCUGUGUUUCUUGAAGUUCCUGGGAGACUCUAAGAAGGGGUCUGAAUUUCCACCACCGUGGAGAGAGAGCGCGGUGACUUCUGAUGGUUGAGUUUCCAUUUGUUCAGCAAGUUCUUACUGACUCAACUUGAAUACACUCCCACUGACAUUCUGGAUUUUUCUGUAAUCUUUUUCUCCUUAAAAGAAUUCAGGAUAACUCCAACAAUCACAAAUGACUGAUUAUGGAGUUUUCAUUUAUUUAACAAGUUCUUUUUGAGGACCUCUCUCAGCAAGUCCUGAGAACCUGCUGACAUCCAGGGUAUCUGCCUAAGAAGAAUCAGACCAGCGCUCCACCCUCUGAUACGCUAGCCACUAGCCACGUGCAAUGAUUUGCAUUUAAAUUUAGAUGAACAAAAAUGAAGGGAAGCUGCGAAUGAAUCUUCUCAGUUGCACUGGCCACAUCUCUGACGCUCAACAGCCACACGUGGCUAGUGGCUACCAUACCCAACAGCACAAACCUAGAGCGUUUUCAUUGUUGUGGAAAGUUCUUUUUGGACAGUGCUGGACUGAUCACCUGACUUGCCUCGAACACUCCUGGAUUACACCUGUUGACGCGGUAUCAUCAUUAAUAGCACCCUCUGUCAAGCCCGAAGUGUCCUGGUUGGGAAAGACAACUGAACGAUGAAAAUGAACUUGGCCACCAUCCCUGCCAGGGCUUUUGUUGAGACCCAGAACCCUCUCUCUUGAUGAAAAAAGUUGCCUGCGUCAGCCCCUGCCUUUUCCUCCUGAUUCUCUCCCACCUGUCCGAUUCGCCAGCAUUAGUAACCGGGGACACAAAUGCAGGGGAAGAGAUGGUCAGAAAUGUCUCCAAGUGAGGGACGUACUUCUCGCUCCAGGAGGCCGGGAGCUCCGUUCCUGCCCACGGAUGCUGGCCGGAGGGAGCUUUGUCACCUGCACUGAGGGGUCCUGUGUGAGCGAUUUGGCCCCACCUCACCUGCGACCUCCUUUCUGAGAUUUUGUAAGUCAUCGCUUUGUGACUCAGUUUCUCUCCGACUGAAUGAACCACACAAGCUUUCUUUACCACCCCUUCGGAGACUGUUGGUAAAACACGCUCGACACACCUUUCAGAGCCUUGGGGAUGAGCCGAGGGCAGGGGGCGGGGGGAGGAAGACUGGGGGAGUACCCCUACCCCCACCACACAUCCCGGGAUGCCGAGGCAUCGCCAGCAUGUGCCCAAGUGCCACCUGGGCCUCCUUUCACUUCCUGGAGUAUCCUGAUGGAGGAUGAAUAAGGCAACCACAAAAAAACAUAACAGACCCGGGUAAGUUCAAAGUCAGGAGUAAGAGACAAAGAUAGAUGGAUAGUUAUUAUAGAUGAUAGAUAGAUAGAUAGAUAGAUAGAUGAUAAAUGGAUGGGUGGAUGGAUGCAGUUAGAAAGACAGAAGAUCAAGAGAAUCUCCACUUCUUCAAACAGGAAUCACUGAGUAGCACCUGCCUCUGGGGCUGGGGAGCGGACUAGGUGGCCGGUGUGUUAGCCAUGCUGGCCGGACAAGUCAGCGUGGGGUUUCUCACCUGGCAGCUAGUUGAGGCACUGGCAAAGAAGGCGUUCACCUCCCCAAGAAAGAAAAAAAGCAUCUGUCUCAAAAGAAAAUAAUCGUCGCAGGUAAUUUUGUGUGUCAUUUCAAAAACUAUCUUUCCAUUUUAUGGUUUAAUACCGUUUUCUUUUGAACUUCACCGGGGCUGGGGAGAGGACCCACGGGCACAUGAGGGCCUCCCAGAUGGCUUUGCAAAUUGUAAGGGCCCAGGCUGCCAUCAGCUCUUAGAUUCUGCGUCACCUGACGUCCUAGUGGCACAGCAGGCCGGGCCGGUGAGGGCGAGGUUGGAGGGCGUACACCAUGUGACGGGGACUAAGAUGAUGGAGGGCUGGCUUCUGCCUGAAUUGGGGGAUGGGAGAGGGGUAGGGGAGACAGAGCAUAGAAAACGGCCUUACCAAUAAGAGCCCAAACUUCCUGCCGGUGUCCGUGCACACAUGACCCAAACAAAGCAGAUGUAGCAAUGGCCAAAGGAGGCGGUUUUCAUUCUAGAAACAUCCACAUCUCCUGCUCCUGCAACCUUCCCAGAUGUCUUCUCGAUUUUUACACAAGCUUCUAAAAAUGGCAUCAACAACCACCCAGUGCCCAGGGCCAUGGCAGGCUAGGUAGUUGAAUCUGGAGGGAGCACUGUGUGGCCAGCCCCAUCAACCUGCCCUCUGCCCCACUGAGGAGGAAGCUGGAGCCGUCACAAUGACCGUGACAUCCCACAGUUCUGGCUUGAACUCUCCCUCUAUGAGGCUUUCCUGCCUCUGAUAACUCAACCUCAGGUCAAGUUGUCAGGUCUUUAUGGCUGAGAUUUUCUUACCUGCUUCUUAAACCUUCAACUGGCUUAAGCAAAAUGGGAACUCACUGGCUCAUAUGACUUAAAGAACUAGGACUGAUAGCUUCAGGCGUGGCUAGAUCCAAGCCUGGGGUCUGAGCCAUAUAUCCACUGAGGUUGUUUCUUUUCCUGCUUUCUUCUACGUUGACUUUGCUCUUGGAUAGGUUCUCUUUCUGGAGCAGUCCCUGGUUCACCUGGUUUACCAGCCCCACCGGAACUAAAACACCUCUUUGCCCGUAAUUCCAGCAAAAGGCUUGGCUGAAGCCUCAUCAGAUGAACUUACACCAUUCGUGAAUCAAUCCACUCGUCAAGCCUAAGAAUCAACUGGACAUUCCUGAAGUCCAGAAUCAGGGUCAUCAACCACACAAUCGGUAAGCAGGGAUGUAGUUUGCCAGAGAAAAGCCAGGGAGCUUUCUCACCUUCACCAGUAGAAAGAAAAUGGAUGCCGUGGAAACCAAAUCCACGAGUGCCCACGACGAGCAGUAAAUGCUCGAUACACUUUAGUCAUUAACCAAAAGUUAAAGACGGGAUCACAGAAGCUCUGGAAUUGCACCCAUAAGCUGGUGGUUCUUCACCGUGACAGGACGCUAAAGAUUCCCACAGAGCUUUUAAAAUUCUUCCAUCCCGGGGCGCCUGGGUGGCUCAGUCGGUUAAGCGGCCGUCUUCGGCUCAGGUCACGAUCUCGCGGUCCGUGAGUUCGAGCCCCGCGUCGGGCUCUGUGCUGGCAGCUCGGAGCCUGGAGCCUGUUUUGGAUUCUGUGUCUCCCUCUCUCUGCCCCUCCCCCGUUCAUGCUCUGUCUCUCUCUGUUUCAAAAAUAAAUAAACGUUAAAAAAAAAUUAAAAAAAUAAAACUCUUCCAUCCCGGUGCCCCACCCUCAGAGAGACUCCGAUUCAGUUGACCCGGGGCUGGGUCCAAGCAGCAGUGGAUGGUAAAUGCCCCCAGGAGAAUCUAAUGCACUGCCAGGGCUGAAAACCACUGCUUUAAGCUAAUGCAUAUGCUUGACUGGUACCCACAGACGUCCUAACCAUAGCACCAAAUCCUUUAAAAGCCCAAAGAAUUAGGAAGUAAUAAUGAUGUGAAGCCUUAGUUCAGAAUUUUAAAAUCUCUCCAGAUUAUUUCUUCCAAUGCUCCACGUGCUGACGCAGAACUUUGUUGGUCAGCUUAAGAAAAAAAAAAGGUGGGGCGUCUGGGUGGCUCAGUGGGUUAAGCGUCCCACUUCGGCUCAGGUCACAGUGUCACGGCUUGGGAGUUCGAGCCCCACGUCGGGUUCUGCGCUGACAGCUCGGAGCCUGGAGCCUGCUUGGGGAUUCCGUGUCUUUCUCGCUCUCUGCCCCUCCCCGGCUCACACUCUCUCAAAAAUAA
This is a long non-coding RNA of Neofelis nebulosa (Clouded leopard), 4767 nucleotides long. RefSeq lists it as uncharacterized. The transcript has 3 exons. NCBI's taxonomy places the organism in Eukaryota, Metazoa, Chordata, Mammalia, Carnivora, Felidae. The record is from RefSeq and is a predicted model, not a curated record.